RNAcentral lists this ribosomal RNA (413 nucleotides) under uncultured bacterium. Its description in RNAcentral is "bacterial SSU rRNA". It matches the Rfam family "Bacterial small subunit ribosomal RNA", at positions 505 to 916 of the family's 1533-position model. The record is from RNAcentral.
GUGCCAGCCGCCGCGGUAAUACGUAGGGGGCAAGCGUUGUCCGGAUUUAUUGGGCGUAAAGGGCGUGUAGGCGGCCUGGUAAGUCGGGGGUGAAAACUCAGGGCUCAACCCUGAGACUGCCUUCGAUACUGCUGGGCUUGAGUGCUCUAGAGGGUAGUGGAAUUGCCGGUGUAGCAGUGAAAUGCGUAGAGAUCGGCAGGAACACCAGUGGCGAAGGCGACUGCCUGGGGAGUAACUGACGCUGAGGCGCGAAAGCUGGGGGAGCAAACGGGAUUAGAUACCCCGGUAGUCCCAGCCGUAAACGAUGAGUGCUAGGUGUGAGGGGUAUCGACCCCCCUCGUGCCGCAACAAACGCAAUAAGCACUCCGCCUGGGGAGUACGGCCGCAAGGUUGAAACUCAAAGGAAUUGACGG